CCUACGGGGGGCAGCAGUGGGGAAUAUUGCACAAUGGGCGCAAGUCUGAUGCAGCCAUGCCGCGUGUGUGAAGAAGGCCUUCGGGUUGUAAAGCACUUUCAGCGGGGAGGAAGGCGGUGAGGUUAAUAACCUCAUCGAUUGACGUUACCCGCAGAAGAAGCACCGGCUAACUCCGUGCCAGCAGCCGCGGUAAUACGGAGGGUGCAAGCGUUAAUCGGAAUUACUGGGCGUAAAGCGCACGCAGGCGGUCUGUCAAGUCGGAUGUGAAAUCCCCGGGCUCAACCUGGGAACUGCAUUCGAAACUGACAGGCUAGAGUCUUGUAGAGGGGGGUAGAAUUCCAGGUGUAGCGGUGAAAUGCGUAGAGAUCUGGAGGAAUACCGGUGGCGAAGGCGGCCCCCUGGACAAAGACUGACGCUCAGGUGCGAAAGCGUGGGGAGCAAACAGGAUUAGAUACCCCAGUAGUC
Molecule: ribosomal RNA, 465 nt
Filed under: uncultured Klebsiella sp.
Lineage: Bacteria; Pseudomonadati; Pseudomonadota; Gammaproteobacteria; Enterobacterales; Enterobacteriaceae
Description: bacterial SSU rRNA
Rfam family: Bacterial small subunit ribosomal RNA
Source: RNAcentral